UAGAGUUUGAUCCUGGCUCAGGACGAACGCUGGCGGCGUGCCUAAUACAUGCAAGUCGAGCGGACAGAUGGGAGCUUGCUCCCUGAAGUCAGCGGCGGACGGGUGAGUAACACGUGGGCAACCUGCCUGUAAGACUGGGAUAACUCCGGGAAACCGGGGCUAAUACCGGAUAAUUUUUYCCUCACAUGAGGAAAGCUGAAAGAUGGUUUCGGCUAUCACUUACAGAUGGGCCCGCGGCGCAUUAGCUAGUUGGUGAGGUAACGGCUCACCAAGGCAACGAUGCGUAGCCGACCUGAGAGGGUGAUCGGCCACACUGGGACUGAGACACGGCCCAGACUCCUACGGGAGGCAGCAGUAGGGAAUCUUCCGCAAUGGACGAAAGUCUGACGGAGCAACGCCGCGUGAGUGAUGAAGGUUUUCGGAUCGUAAAACUCUGUUGUUAGGGAAGAACAAGUACCGGAGUAACUGCCGGUACCUUGACGGUACCUAACCAGAAAGCCACGGCUAACUACGUGCCAGCAGCCGCGGUAAUACGUAGGUGCAAGCGUUGUCCGGAAUUAUUGGGCGUAAAGCGCGCGCAGGCGGUUCCUUAAGUCUGAUGUGAAAGCCCCCGGCUCAACCGGGGAGGGUCAUUGGAAACUGGGGAACUUGAGUGCAGAAGAGAAGAGUGGAAUCCACGUGUAGCGGUGAAAUGCGUAGAGAUGUGGAGGAACACCAGUGGCGAAGGCGA
This 730-nucleotide ribosomal RNA is filed under the name Cytobacillus oceanisediminis. RNAcentral's name for it is "bacterial SSU rRNA". It matches the Rfam family "Bacterial small subunit ribosomal RNA", at positions 1 to 724 of the family's 1533-position model. Lineage: Bacteria; Bacillati; Bacillota; Bacilli; Caryophanales; Bacillaceae. The record is from RNAcentral.